This 291-nucleotide ribosomal RNA is filed under the name Triticum aestivum (bread wheat). Its description in RNAcentral is "partial small subunit ribosomal RNA". Lineage: Eukaryota; Viridiplantae; Streptophyta; Magnoliopsida; Poales; Poaceae. The record is from RNAcentral.
AUGAUCCAAUUGCAUAGGUUGAGGAUCAUGUUACAAAAUGUCAACCCGACUAGUGGUGAUGAUUCUCCUUGGUGGAUCUGGAACAAAAAUGACAAAUUCACUGUCAAAACCAUGUACAAUCAUCUCUUUGAUGCUUGUCCCGACAUAUCCUUGAAACACCCAUGGAAAGCUAGAAUCCCACUAAAAGUUCGGUGGUCACAGUACCAGUUGUCACUAAUCAUGGUUGGCCAGGUUUACAAAACAAAGGUGAUCGCGCGACGCUGGAACAAGGCUCACACAGGGCCGCAAUAA